Molecule: ribosomal RNA, 497 nt
Filed under: uncultured bacterium
Lineage: Bacteria
Description: partial 16S ribosomal RNA
Rfam family: Bacterial small subunit ribosomal RNA
Source: RNAcentral
GAUGAACGCUGGCGGCGUGCCUAACACAUGCAAGUCGAACGAAGCACUUUAAAUAGAUUUCUUCGGAAUGAAGUUUUUUGUGACUUAGUGGCGGACGGGGGAGUAACGCGUGGGUAACCUGCCCAGUACGCGGGGACAACAGUUGGAAACGACUGCUAAUACCGCAUAAGCCUACGGUGUCGCAUGACACAGUAGGAAAAAUUCCGGUGGUAUUGGAUGGGACCGCGUCUGAUUAGCUAGUUGGUAAGGUAAUGGCUUACCAAGGCGACGAUCAGUAGCCGGCUUGGGAGAGGGACCGGCCACAGUGGGACUGGGACACGACCCGAAGACCUACGGGAGGCGGAAGUGGGGAAGAUGGCACAAUGGGGGAAACGCUGAGGCAGCAACGCCGCGUGAGUGAAGAAGUAUUUCGAUAUGUAAAGCUCUAUCAGCAGGGAAGAUAAUGACGGUACCUGACUAAGAAGCAGCGGCUAACUACGUGCCAGCAGCCGCCGCCG